UCCUGCCAGCUUAACGAUUCGCCCGUGUGCCAAGCAGCCGCGGUAAUUCCAGCUCCAAUAGCGUAUAUUAAAGUUGUUGUGGUUAAAAAGCUCGUAGUUGGAUCUCGGCGGACUGAGGGCGGUUUGCUUGCUAGUAUUACUGCCCUAUAGUCCGUAGUUUUGCCAGAGGUUUCGGGGUGCUCUUAAUCGAGUGUCCCGGGAUGCUGGCAGGUUUACUUUGAAAAAAUUAGAGUGCUCAAAGCAGGCUAUUACGCCUGAAUAUUCGUGCAUGGAAUAAUAGAAUAGGAAGUCGUUUCUAUUUUGUUGGUUCUCGGAAAUCGACUUAAUGAUUAAUAGGGACAGUCGGGGGCAUUUGUAUUCAAACGACAGAGGUGAAAUUCUUGGACCGUUUGAAGACAAACUACUGCGAAAGCAUUUGCCAAGAAUGUUUUCAUUAAUCAAGAACGAAAGUUAAAGGUUCGAAGGCGAUUAGAUACCGCCCUAGUUUUAACCAUAAACGAUGCCAGCUAGCGAUCUGCGGACGUUUUUUUUGUAGACUCCGCAGGAAGCUUCCGGGAAACCAAAGCAUUUGGGUUCCAGGGGAAGUAUGGUUGCAAAGCUGAAACUUAAAGGAAUUGACGGAAGGGCACCACCAGGAGUGGAGCCUGUGGCUUAAUUUGACUCAACACGGGAAAUCUCACCAGGCCCGGACACUGGAAGGAUUGACAGAUUGAUAGCUCUUUCUUGAUUCGGUGGGUGGUGGUGCAUGGCCGUUCUUAGUUGGUGGAGUGAUUUGUCUGGUUAAUUCCGAUAACGAACGAGACUCUGUCCUGCUAAAUAGUGUCUGCUUCUCUUUUGAGCAGACAAUUCUUCUUAGAGGGACUGGCGACUCUUAGUCGCACGAGAUUGAGCAAUAACAGGUCUGUGAUGCCAAGGCGAAUUUCGC
Molecule: ribosomal RNA, 925 nt
Filed under: uncultured eukaryote
Lineage: Eukaryota
Description: SSU rRNA
Rfam family: Eukaryotic small subunit ribosomal RNA
Source: RNAcentral